AUUGAACGCUGGCGGCAGGCCUAACACAUGCCAGUCGAGCGGAUGAAGGGAGCUUGCUCCUGGAUUCAGCGGCGGACGGGUGAGUAAUGCCUAGGAAUCUGCCUGGUAGUGGGGGAUAACGUCCGGAGACGGGCGCUAAUACCGCAUACGUCCUGAGGGAGAAAGUGGGGGAUCUUCGGACCUCACGCUAUCAGAUGAGCCUAGGUCGGAUUAGCUAGUUGGUGGGGUAAAGGCCUACCAAGGCGACGAUCCGUAACUGGUCUGAGAGGAUGAUCAGUCACACUGGAACUGAGACACGGUCCAGACUCCUACGGGAGGCAGCAGUGGGGAAUAUUGGACAAUGGGCGAAAGCCUGAUCCAGCCAUGCCGCGUGUGUGAAGAAGGUCUUCGGAUUGUAAAGCACUUUAAGUUGGGAGGAAGGGCAGUAAGUUAAUACCUUACUGUUUUGACGUUACCAACAGAAUAAGCACCGGCUAACUUCGUG
RNAcentral lists this ribosomal RNA (484 nucleotides) under uncultured bacterium. RNAcentral's name for it is "partial 16S ribosomal RNA". It matches the Rfam family "Bacterial small subunit ribosomal RNA", at positions 30 to 507 of the family's 1533-position model. The record is from RNAcentral.